RNAcentral lists this ribosomal RNA (580 nucleotides) under proteobacterium MS-B-77. RNAcentral describes it as "bacterial SSU rRNA". It matches the Rfam family "Bacterial small subunit ribosomal RNA", at positions 150 to 725 of the family's 1533-position model. The record is from RNAcentral. Lineage: Bacteria; Pseudomonadati; Pseudomonadota.
CCGGAAACGGGCGCUAAUACCGCAUACGUCCUGAGGGAGAAAGUGGGGGAUCUUCGGACCUCACGCUAUCAGAUGAGCCUAGGUCGGAUUAGCUAGUUGGUGGGGUAAAGGCCUACCAAGGCGACGAUCCGUAACUGGUCUGAGAGGAUGAUCAGUCACACUGGAACUGAGACACGGUCCAGACUCCUACGGGAGGCAGCAGUGGGGAAUAUUGGACAAUGGGCGAAAGCCUGAUCCAGCCAUGCCGCGUGUGUGAAGAAGGUCUUCGGAUUGUAAAGCACUUUAAGUUGGGAGGAAGGGCAGUAAGUUAAUACCUUGCUGUUUUGACGUUACCAACAGAAUAAGCACCGGCUAACUUCGUGCCAGCAGCCGCGGUAAUACGAAGGGUGCAAGCGUUAAUCGGAAUUACUGGGCGUAAAGCGCGCGUAGGUGGUUCAGCAAGUUGGAUGUGAAAUCCCCGGGCUCAACCUGGGAACUGCAUCCAAAACUACUGAGCUAGAGUACGGUAGAGGGUGGUGGAAUUUCCUGUGUAGCGGUGAAAUGCGUAGAUAUAGGAAGGAACACCAGUGGCGAAGGCGAC